UACAGAGGGUGCGAGCGUUGUCCGGAAUCACUGGGCGUAAAGGGCGCGUAGGUGGUGGCUUAAGCGUGCGGUGAAAGCUCGGGGCUCAACCCCGAGUCGGCCGUGCGAACUGGGCUCACUGGAGCAUAGUAGAGGCAGGUGGAAUUCCGGGUGUAGCGGUGGAAUGCGUAGAGAUCCGGAAGAACACCGGUGGCGAAGGCGGCCUGCUGGGCUAUGGCUGACACUGAGGCGCGGACAGCGUGGGGAGCAAACAGG
Molecule: ribosomal RNA, 255 nt
Filed under: uncultured bacterium
Lineage: Bacteria
Description: partial 16S ribosomal RNA
Rfam family: Bacterial small subunit ribosomal RNA
Source: RNAcentral